CCUACGGGAGGCAGCAGUGGGGGAUAUUGCACAAUGGGGGGAACCCUGAUGCAGCGACGCCGCGUGGGUGAAGAAGCGCCUCGGCGCGUAAAGCCCUGUCAGCAGGGAAGAAAAUGACGGUACCUGAAGAAGAAGCCCCGGCUAACUACGUCCCAGCAGCCGCGGUAAUACGUAGGGGGCAAGCGUUAUCCGGAUUUACUGGGUGUAACGGGGGCGCAGACGGCGAUGCAAGCCAGGAGUGAAAGCCCGGGGCCCAACCCCGGGACUGCUCUUGGAACUGCGUGGCUGGAGUGCAGGAGGGGCAGGCGGAAUUCCUGGUGUAGCGGUGAAAUGCGUAGAUAGCAGGAGGAACACCGGUGGCGAAGGCGGCCUGCUGGACUGCAACUGACGUUGAGGCCCGAAAGUGUGGGGAGCAAACAGGAUUAGAUACCCCAGUAGUC
RNAcentral lists this ribosomal RNA (440 nucleotides) under uncultured bacterium. RNAcentral describes it as "partial 16S ribosomal RNA". It matches the Rfam family "Bacterial small subunit ribosomal RNA", at positions 338 to 795 of the family's 1533-position model. The record is from RNAcentral.